RNAcentral lists this unclassified non-coding RNA (4547 nucleotides) under Leishmania donovani. RNAcentral describes it as "gene:LdHU3.31.2570(CDS-product:surface_membrane_p rotein_gp46-like_protein)". The record is from RNAcentral. Lineage: Eukaryota; Euglenozoa; Kinetoplastea; Trypanosomatida; Trypanosomatidae.
CGUCAUCAAUCCGAUCUUUUCUGCUCACCCCCUGGCGACGCGACAAAGACCUAGACAGCCUCUCGUGAAGGCUUCAGGCAUUCCCAGCAGCAUCGAAGGCAUUAGGCUUCGCUGCCCCCCUCCACAUUCAUUAGCCGCUUCUGACGCCUGUCGCUCCUCAUCAACGCCCUCUCAGCAACGUCAGGAGGCAAUCGAGAGUACAGAUAUAAGUGGAUCACUCGGGCCUCUCCUUCCUCCUUCUCCCUCUUCCUGUGCUUGAUGAUGCCCGUGCUGCUGCGCCGGGGCGUUAUGCAGCGCCCGCGAGCCGCUCUCCUCGUUGUGGCGCUAACCCUAUGCCUGCUCCUGUCUCCCGUGCGUGGCGCGGAAUCACCGUUCACCCACUACAGCGCCGUGCAGAAGGCAAACACGCGCAAGUUUCUGCAGGCCUUCGUGGACGCGAACCCGCUGCUUGAGAAGCUGCCGUCGGUGGACUUCUGCGAGUGGGUCUACUCUGAGUGCACGAGCAAGGGCGUGGAUCUGUACCUGGACGAGAGAGCCGUGGUGCAGCUGCCGGAGAUGUCCUCUGGCAUUGUUGGCAAAUAUGUUCUGGUCACUUCCAUCAAUCUCAGCUACGGCAAGAACACAUUGAAGGGCACGCUGCCGGCGAGCUGGGGGAGCCUGACGCACCUCGAGUACAUCUCCAUGUACUCGAACUCGCUGACGGGCACCCUGCCGCCGGAGUGGGCCAAUAUGAAGUCGGCGAAGUGGUUCCUGCUGUACCGCAACGAGCUGACGGGCACCAUUCCUGAGGCGUGGAGCCGUCUGCGCUACAUGACGUGGGCGUGCCUGAACGACAACAAUCUGACCGGAACACUCCCCUCGUCGUGGGGCAGCGCUCCGCAGCUGACGAUUGUUGAGGCCAGGAGAAAUCAGCUGACCGGCACAUUGCCGCCGACCUGGGGGAGCCUGCGGAAACUCAGCUCCAUCACGCUGACGGACAACAAUCUGACCGGGCCCCUUCCAGAGGAGUGGGCGUCUGCCCAGACGCUGUACGGUGUGUCCGUGGAGCGCAACAAUUUGUGCGGCUGUGUCCCGAAAUCGUGGGUGUCUCACAAUUUUUUCUAUGGCAUGCGAGUCGAUGACAGCCUCUUGGCCGCGGAUUGUUCGACAGCCAACGCGUGCAAGUGAGGCGUGGGGCAUCGCAGACCAUCGCUGAUGGACAAGGGAAGCGGUGCUGUUGUUCUGAAUGCGCGCAUGGGACUUGCGAUUGUUUGAUGUGUUUUCCCGCGCGUCGCGCGCUGGCGUCCUGCCGCUGGCACACUGUCACGGAGCAAGGCAGAGAGGGAAACGGGAGGUGCAGGGGGCGAAGAUGGAAUGCGGUCUGAUGGCGAGGAAGUUGUGCACAGGCACAGGGACUGAGGCGCUCACUGAUGCCGACGUUUGUGGGCCGCUCUUGCCACCUCGGCUGCCUUUUUGCACUUCUCUGUUGUAUCCGUCUCUGUCUGUCUCCCUCUGUGCUUCUUUCAGUGUGCACUUCCGCUGAUGCACGUGCGCGUCGGGUCUGUCUCAGCGGUGUAUCCAUGGAAGAGCCUGGGCGGCGGUACACACUCUUCCUUCGCCUUAUCAGCCUAAGGGUUUGUUUUAUGUUUUUCUUUCUCACCCCCUUCGUUUUGCUCAUGGGGCAUCUCUUGCGUGCUUUAUACUCUCCCAUUUUCUCUUGCUCUCAUACUCCCCGCAGAUGGCCGCAUGCGCCACGCCGAGUGACGGGCGGAGCAGGAUGUAUUAGCCUGCGUUUUGUACGUGUCUCUCCUUCCCGGUUUUGACCACUACUCCGCUGUACCUCUCCCGCAUGUGCCCCCCGAAUCCUGUAUUUGCAUGCACCGGCGCUUCUCGGCUCUGCUGUCGUUUCCCAUAGGCUUCUCCUCUCCUCCCCCUCCCCCUCACCCCUCUCCCUCUUCCGUGUGCCUCUAUGCGUGCGCGCGAGCGUGCUGUGCUCGUACGAGUGCAGAAGAAUACCGAAUCCAGUGCGCCAAACGAGAGGCAGCGGGGUGGGUGGAUUGAAACAGAAAGCCACCAAAAAAAAUCUAAACAACAACUAAGUUAAAACGAAGGAAGGGAAGUGCGGCGGCGCGCCACACAAGUCGGCGAGGGCAUGGACCUGCGCGACGGCGGGGAGGAAGGAGGGGGAAAACAAAACAAAGCACGGCAAACAACGAGCACACAAGAAACGAUGAUACGUGGAAACGGGCAAAACGUAAAAGGGGAAGGAUGAUGCCGAGCGCGCUUGUCGUCUCUGGAUCCUGACAACUGUGUUGGAUCAUCUCUCUCCUACCUCCCAUGUAUGCUGGGUGCGCAUGGCUGUGCGUCUCUCUCUUCAAGUGCGCGCGAGAGGCACUGCAACUCCCUCUUUUCCUUCUAAACGGCUGUUCACGGUUUCGUACUGCUCAUUCGUGCCUCUCCGACGAGUCUGUGCCCCUCUUUCUUGUCCUUUGCCGUCACCUGCUCGCUCGCUUUUCUUGUGUUGUUCGUCACCCUCGUUCCCCCCGUCUGGAGUCCCUACCUGAAAGCGCUCAUUGCUCUCAGGCCGUUUCGUUCUACUUGUGUGUGCGUGUGUGUCUGGGCCAUGCCACUGGUGCGCCUGCAUGUAUGCACACUUCCUCCCUCCCUUCCGCCCUCCCUCUCCCUGUCUUUUUUUUUUGUGUCUUUAUUUGUUCAUGUUAUUUUUUUCUGUUUUAUUUUGUGCCAUGUCCGUCUUCGUAUAUCCGCUCGCUGCUUUCUCGUUUGUUUGUCUACUCAUUGCUCCCGGUUUCUUGUCACCUUGCCGCCCUCCCUCCCCCUCCCUCUUCGCCAACCUUCGUGGGCAGAAACGGAGGACCCAACGACACAGAAAAGACGCGAGAGGUCCCCCUCCACCCUCCAAAAAAAAAAAGAAACAUGAAGCGGCGCUUCACCAGACGCAUGCCAUUCUGAUUUUUUUUUUGGUUUCGCAAACAGACAUGAGAUCGCAUGCGUGAAGAACGUCUCGACGAGCAAAGCAGAGCAGAAAAGGGGAGGGGUGCAGGGCAUCAGUGCAGCAGCGGUAUGCCACCUACGCUAGCAAGCACAUGCUGCCUCACACUCUCUAAGUGUGGUGCGAGGAUGUUGCCUGACUCUCUCUCUGCCCGUCUCUGCCUCGAGUAUUGCCAAGUUCUUUUAGUGCUAGCCUAGAAGGAUAGAGCACCCCUUCUUUUCCUCCCCUUGUCUCUCUCUCUAAGUAUUGAUCUUCGUCCGUUCUGCUGCCUUCUUAUUAUGUUUAUUUUUUUGUUAAAGGCUUGCGUGAUCUCUCUUCCCUGAAUUGGGCUCAUGGUUGGGCGUGUGCAUUCCUCUCCCUCUCCCUCUCUUUUUUUUCGCUUAUCACCUUUUUUCCGUUAACCACUUCUCCCGCUGUCUUCCCUCCCUCCUUCUCCCUCUUUGUUGGCUUUUUCGUUUGUUUUGUGUGCGCGUGUGUGCGUGUGUGUUUUCCCUUUUCACGUGUUCGUGCUCAUCACAUCACGUGCUCCUGUCCUUUCUUUCAUGCGCCCUGAAAAAGAAAAGUCUGCAAGCGGAAGUGCGCCUUUUCCCUCCCUCUCUCCUUCUCUUCUUUUACUGUCGCACUGGCGGUCUCUCGUGGUGCAAGCGAGGGGGUGCGACGAAGAAAGCGAAGUGAGGAGGGGUUGAUGGUUGAAGGGGUGAGGGGACAGCCUGCAGGGGGGGGGGAGACGAACGAAAGGGAGGUGAAACAUUGGAACAGAGGAGGCAGGGACGCUGCACAAGCACGAUGAGGGGGGAUGAGGCCGAGAUCUCUCCGCCUUGUGCGUUGAAAUGCAUGCGGCCGACGAGACCAGUUCUUUGCCUUUUUCCCCUCUCUUUUCGACGUACCAUCGUUUGUUGUGCGCACUGCGAGCGCACGAUGGCUUGUGCUGAGGUGCGCCCCAGCUCUCGUGUUUGGUAAGUGCGCAUGUGUAUAUGUGUCUGUCAGGACCGUAGGGUUGGAGAGGAGGCGCCCCUCACGUCUCAGUGGCGUGCGUAUCUCGUACCUUCAUUCUCCUUUGCAUCCCCCCUACACUUAUACGCGGCAACUGUGCUCAGUUGCCGAGGAACGCGGAGCUAAUGAUCCUUGGGCUCACACGUGCACACUUGCACAUGGACAUUUUCAGGUAGUGCCCUCGUUACACCCGGCAGUUCAGCUAGGUGGCUCACUAAUGGACACAGUUUUUUCUGAAGCCCCACGCCCCACCCGCCCGGCUCCUUUGGACCACAGGAGAGGGAAAACGAAAACAGCGAAGAUGCCUCCCCGUCCCCACGCUUCUUUCUCCCCGCUGCUUCCACAACACCUCCGCCCCUUUCGGCGUCUUCGCCCUUCGCUGCGGUGCACUCGUUACGAUGCGCUCCUUCUGUCGCUCUUAUUGUUUCUCUUGCUCGCACAUGCCUUUUUCCGGGUACGCUUUAUGGGCUUGCGUUUACUGUGUGCUCCUCUCUGCCCCCCUCCUUCCCACCCCUUGUAAAUAUAUAUAUAUAUUUGGUGUGCUUUCGGUUUGUGUCUUCGAUAG